UGAGCUUGAUCCUGGCUCAGAUUGAACGCUGGCGGCAGGCCUAACACAUGCAAGUCGAGCCGGUAGAGAGGAGCUUGCUCCUCUUGAGAGCGGCGGACGGGUGAGUAAUGCCUAGGAAUCUGCCUGGUAGUGGGGGAUAACGUUCGGAAACGGACGCUAAUACCGCAUACGUCCUACGGGAGAAAGCAGGGGACCUUCGGGCCUUGCGCUAUCAGAUGAGCCUAGGUCGGAUUAGCUAGUUGGUGAGGUAAUGGCUCACCAAGGCGACGAUCCGUAACUGGUCUGAGAGGAUGAUCAGUCACACUGGAACUGAGACACGGUCCAGACUCCUACGGGAGGCAGCAGUGGGGAAUAUUGGACAAUGGGCGAAAGCCUGAUCCAGCCAUGCCGCGUGUGUGAAGAAGGUCUUCGGAUUGUAAAGCACUUUAAGUUGGGAGGAAGGGCAGUAAAUUAAUACUUUGCUGUUUUGACCGUACCGACAG
Molecule: ribosomal RNA, 482 nt
Filed under: Pseudomonas sp. 01WB03.4-38
Lineage: Bacteria; Pseudomonadati; Pseudomonadota; Gammaproteobacteria; Pseudomonadales; Pseudomonadaceae
Description: bacterial SSU rRNA
Rfam family: Bacterial small subunit ribosomal RNA
Source: RNAcentral